Molecule: long non-coding RNA, 234 nt
Filed under: Elaeis guineensis (African oil palm)
Lineage: Eukaryota; Viridiplantae; Streptophyta; Magnoliopsida; Arecales; Arecaceae
Description: long non-coding RNA (EGUI_LNC008400)
Source: RNAcentral
GAUAGAAAAGGAGAAGUCCUAUACGAUUCAUGAGACUGAGUUCAGAAAGUCUUUGGCCAAAGUAAGGGUGCAUAGUGAAAAACAGUUUCCACGGAAUUUACAAGUGAACUCGAGUCGAGCCAAUCUUGCAUAUAACUAACGAUGGGGUUUGAUGAGUUCUCUAUGACCUCUGUCAAGUCAGAACUUAUGAUAGAAGGACUGAAUCACACGAUAACUACACCUAGAAGUUUAUCU